Molecule: ribosomal RNA, 468 nt
Filed under: uncultured bacterium
Lineage: Bacteria
Description: partial 16S ribosomal RNA
Rfam family: Bacterial small subunit ribosomal RNA
Source: RNAcentral
GACGAACGCUGGCGGCGUGCUUAACACAUGCAAGUCGAACGGAAAGGCCCUGCUUUUGUGGGGUGCUCGAGUGGCGAACGGGUGAGUAACACGUGGGUAACCUGCCCUUGACUUUGGGAUAACUUCAGGAAACUGGGGCUAAUACCGGAUAGGAGCUCCUGCUGCAUGGUGGGGGCUGGAAAGUUUCGGCGGUUGGGGAUGGACUUGCGGCUUAUCAGCUUGUUGGUGGGGUAGUGGCUUACCAAGGCUUUGACGGGUAGCCGGCCUGAGUGGGUGACCGGCCACAUUGGGACUGAGAUACGGCCCAGACUCCUACGGGAGGCAGCAGUGGGGAAUAUUGCACAAUGGGCGGAAGCCUGAUGCAGCAACGCCGCGUGCGGGAUGACGGCCUUCGGGUUGUAAACCGCUUUCGCCUGUGACGAAGCGUGAGUGACGGUAAUGGGUAAAGAAGCACCGGCUAACUACGUG